This is a long non-coding RNA of Sitophilus oryzae (rice weevil), 1423 nucleotides long. RefSeq lists it as uncharacterized. The record is from RefSeq and is a predicted model, not a curated record. Lineage: Eukaryota; Metazoa; Arthropoda; Insecta; Coleoptera; Curculionidae. The transcript has 2 exons.
CUAUGGAGUCUAAAAGGAGGAGGCGAAUCGAACGCAAAAAUUAUGGGCCCAGUUUUUGAGAUCUAAAUGAAGUUCGAAAAUCGCCGUUAGGGGCGCUUGUGAUGAUUGGGAUACUAGAAAUACACAGCUUCUUAUGGCAAGAAUAACUAUUUUGUUAUAAAUUAUAGAGCCAAGUUAAUAUUUGGGCAUAUUUUUACCAGAGUUAGCUUUUAGAAACGUGGUUUUUCUAAUUGAGCAAUGUGCGUGGCUAAAAUUGUGAAUACAAAACCUUAAAUUUGAGUUUGAAAAUGCAUACACGACCGAAGAAACAUAUAAGCUGCUAAAAUAAAUCUUCCCUAGAACUGUUGUACAAAAAAGAUAGAAGUUCCAGCAACAAAUUUAUCACCAGUUCAACCUUUGAUUUGAUGUAAACAGUAAUUGUUUCUUGAUGAGAAAUGCGAAUGAAAUAGUUUAUGGUGUGAUUGUGUUAGUGUUUUAUUAAUAGUUUUGUUGAUGCAGUUUAAAGGUUCAUAGUUUUUCAUUAAAACAUUUGAAAUUGACAUGUUUACAUGCAGUUUAGUGUGAUACCAUUUUAAUAAACAUUAAAAUCUUUCGAACUAGUAGUGGUUUUAUGGCGAUUGACAGAUUGAAUAACGAAAAUUAAGAGUAUUUUAUCAGGAAUAACUUAAUCAUAAAUGGAAACUGAAGACGAACGUUACCAUUGCACCCUUUGAUCGGUGUUAUCUAUUCCAUAACUUUUUAUAGCUGAAACUAGAGAGUAGGUAUAUUGAGCUGAAACGUUUCCUGUGUUCAAUAGCGUUUUUUCUAGCGUUGAAUUGUAAGUUUUAAUGUCAUUAGCAAAGUUUUGCAAAUUGUCACUGUUUCGUAGACAAUUAAAUUCAAGAUAUAUUAUAUUCAAUGUCACCUAAUAAUUGUAAAGGUUUUUCUAUUGAUAUUCACUUUAUUAAUAUAAGGUAGGUUUGUAAAUAAAAUAUUAAUGAAUAAAUAAUGUACUCAGUUUAUUUCAAAAGCACAAAAAUACAGAGUUGUGAAUAUGUAUAUACGCUGACUUAUUUCAUCAUAUAAAUAUUUAUUUAGCAAUAUUAAUACAUUACAACUUUUGUUUCUAUUAACUAAUUCCACUAAAUUUAAUAAAUAAAAUAUACAAUAUAUAAAUUUAAUAUACAAUUUAGCACUUAGAUAUUAAAUAUCUAUAUGUACUAUGCCAAAAAAUAAAACAGGAACAUCAUAUUAUAUCAAGAACACAAAAAAUUACAAUUUAAAAAAAAUGCAUUCUAAAAAAAUACCUAGCUACAAUAUACCUACAUAUUAAUUUAAAGAGCUUAUUCAUAUUCAUAAAAACUAUUCUAAAUGGUUUAUAUACACAAUCAAAAGUAUCAACCACAAUACAAUAAUUUUCAAAUUAUUUCUUAUUAUUCCUCAA